UACGUAGGGUGCAAGCGUUGUCCGGAAUUAUUGGGCGUAAAGAGUUCGUAGGCGGUCUGUCGCGUCGGUAGUGAAAACUCAGGGCUUAACCCUGAGCCUGCUUCCGAUACGGGCAGACUAGAGGUAUGCAGGGGAGAAUGGAAUUCCUGGUGUAGCGGUGAAAUGCGCAGAUAUCAGGAGGAACACCAGUGGCGAAGGCGGUUCUCUGGGCAUUACCUGACGCUGAGGAGCGAAAGUGUGGGGAGCGAACAGG
This 253-nucleotide ribosomal RNA is filed under the name uncultured bacterium. RNAcentral's name for it is "partial 16S ribosomal RNA". It matches the Rfam family "Bacterial small subunit ribosomal RNA", at positions 524 to 776 of the family's 1533-position model. The record is from RNAcentral.